Molecule: ribosomal RNA, 443 nt
Filed under: uncultured bacterium
Lineage: Bacteria
Description: partial 16S ribosomal RNA
Rfam family: Bacterial small subunit ribosomal RNA
Source: RNAcentral
CCUACGGGAGGCAGCAGUGGGGAAUAUUGGGCAAUGGAGGCAACUCUGACCCAGCAACGCCGCGUGAAUGAUGAAGGUCUUCGGAUUGGAAAGUUCUGUGAUGGGGGAUGAACACAAUGACGGUACCCCAAUAGCAAGCCACGGCUAACUACGUGCCAGCAGCCGCGGUAAGACGUAGGUGGCGAGCGUUAUCCGGAAGGACUGGUCGUAAAGGGUGCGUAGGUGGUUUAGUAAGUUGGCGGUGUAAUUCCGGGGCUGAACCGCGGCGCUACCGCAAAAACUAUUAGGCUAGAGUGCAGGAGGGGUAGGUGGAAUUCCUAGUGUAGCGGUGGAAUGCGUAGAUAUUAGGAAGAACAGCAGGGGCGAAGGCGACUUACUGGACUGUAACUGACGCUGAGGCACGAAAGCGUGGGGAGCAAACAGGAUUAGAUACCCUAGUAGUC